AUCCCAGACUCCUACGGGAGGCAGCAGUCGGGAAUAUUGCGCAAUGGAGGGAACUCUGACGCAGUGACGCCGCGUAUAGGAAGAAGGUUUUCGGAUUGUAAACUAUUGUCAUUAGGGAAGAUAAAAGACUGUACCUAAGGAGGAAGCCCCGGCUAACUAUGUGCCAGCAGCCGCGGUAAUACAUAGGGGGCAAGCGUUAUCCGGAAUUAUUGGGUGUAAAGGGUGCGUAGACGGAUAAGCAAGUCUGAUGUGAAAAUCCGGGGCCCAACCCCGGAAUUGCAUUGGAAACUGCAUAUCUAGAGUGUCGGAGAGGCAAGUGGAAUUCCUGGUGUAGCGGUGAAAUGCGUAGAUAUCAGGAGGAACACCAGUGGCGAAGGCGGCUUGCUGGACGAUGACUGACGUUGAGGCUCGAAAGCGUGGGGAGCAAACAGGAUUAGAUACCCGGGUAU
Molecule: ribosomal RNA, 449 nt
Filed under: uncultured bacterium
Lineage: Bacteria
Description: bacterial SSU rRNA
Rfam family: Bacterial small subunit ribosomal RNA
Source: RNAcentral